CCUGAGAAACCCAAAAGAUCGAAUGGGGAGAUUCAUCGUCAGCACAUUUUGUAUAUAUAUAAGUUAUGAUGCGGGUUACUACUUGUAGUAUUGCCUGCACAUUCUUGUAUAUUUAGUUGCAAGAUGUUGUCGGCGUGCACUUCUCCUCUAGUAGGACGUCGCGACCCGUUGGGUGUCGGUUUACGGCCCAAGUGAUGGCCUUUAAUGUAAUUAAAAAAACAUUGAAGAUCCUUGGUGUUUUCUAACCGGCUACUCGGCGGUAUUCGUACGGUAUUUAGCCGCUGAUUUUAUUAGCGUUUAUGUCCGUCACAAGCGAGGCCAAUUUUUACUGAUAGUACGGACCUAGUGCCGUCGUUGGUAUUGGCCAGCUGUUGGUUGUACGGUAUUCUAAAACUGGCUAAAAUUAAUUACCGGUCGGCGAUGCUACUGCUUUGGGUACUUUCAGG
Molecule: ribosomal RNA, 446 nt
Filed under: Aleiodes siamensis
Lineage: Eukaryota; Metazoa; Arthropoda; Insecta; Hymenoptera; Braconidae
Description: partial 28S ribosomal RNA
Source: RNAcentral